Molecule: long non-coding RNA, 1409 nt
Filed under: Chinchilla lanigera (long-tailed chinchilla)
Lineage: Eukaryota; Metazoa; Chordata; Mammalia; Rodentia; Chinchillidae
Description: lncRNA (ENSCLAG00000027791.1)
Source: RNAcentral
UGUAGUACAGGCUGUCCCCGGCAGCCGGCGGAGUCAGGGAGCCCACGUGACGGGCCCGGCUCUCCGGUGAGCUCCCCAAACAGACGCACGCCCAGCCACACGCGCGCGCGCGCGCACAUACACACACGCGCACACACACACGCACCCCCGCGCGCACACGCCCGCCGCCCGCUCUGCCUUGGCGCCCUCCAUCCCGGCUCGCUCAUUCUCUCGCCCUCUCGCCUCCCCUGCGGUCUCUCGCUCGUUCGCUCGCUCUGCGCGCACACACCACACACACGCACACGCACACACACGCGCGCACACACGCAGCCGGCACAGGCGGCGGCGGCGGCUGCCCAAGUCAGGACGAACCUCUCUAGGUACCGUCUCGAGGAGGCGGCAGCGGCGGCGGAGGCAGCCGAGCAUCCCUGCUGCCCGGAGAGGGAGCGCCGCCGAGAGUUUCCGUUCCCUUGGCCAUUCCCUUCCCCCUCCUUUGCUUUAUUUUGCGAGAGAAUAUAUUCUUGGCUUAUUGGUUUAAUUUGAUUUUGAACAUUUUGGGUUGCUUUUGUGUGUGUGUGUGCUUUUUUUUUCUUUCCUCGUUUUAUUUGCAUCCAGAGCAUGGCGGGCUGCGGGCUGUCGGAAGACACCUUCUUCUCUUCCUUCUUUUACAACUACGGCUCCUCCUGGGAAACCCCUUCCAGCCAGCGCCAGCUCUCCGGUCUCCAGGGUCUGUCGCGUCCCUCCCGAGCCCAUUCUGCCAUCGACACCUCCCCCCACCACCUCCCAGCCCAGCGGGAACCCGAGGAAGAGGCAGGAGCUGGCGCGUUACCCCGAACAACUCCAGGCGAAACCAGGGAACUCGAGCGCAACCUUCCCGAAGUCGCCGCGGGCGCCGCGCCCCUGUGCGCCCGGCGCCCGCCGGCCCUCCACUUGCGCCGAGGGGCUGCAGAGCCGCGAGCCCCCAGCGACGCGCUGUCCUGCCCACUCCCCCCGGGCCCGGAGCCACCUCUUUCCCUAAAAUGGCUGCAAUCUCCAGGAGAGGCGUCCCCUGACCCGCGGAGGUGGGGAUGGGGGGGCGAGCCGAGGCUCCGCUCCUCCUGACCCCGCGCCUCCCCGGCGCGCACGAGCACCCCACAAACACACACACUUAACUUUGAUGACUGUGCAAUGCAGUCCGGCUGCAUCGUACCCCAGACGCUCCCCGCCGCCGGCCUGUAGUGUUCGUGUCGGUGUGACGGGGGGGGGCGGGGAGGUUGGGGGUACACGCCAGAAAGGGGGGGCGUGGAAGGCGAUGGGUGUCAGCGGGCCACGGGCCACCUGGAAAGAGAGGCAUGUGCUCAGGGUCAGGAGGGGGUGAAAAAGCUAUUCUGGGAGCCAGAGCGAGAAUUAGAGGAAAAAUGCCUUUUAAUUAAAUAACUGUUGUAGUCUGC